GGGGUAAUAGCUCAAUGGUAGAGCACGUGCUUAGCAUGCAUGAGGUCCUGGGUUCAAUCCCCAGGACCUCCA
RNAcentral lists this transfer RNA (72 nucleotides) under Camelus bactrianus (Bactrian camel). It matches the Rfam family "tRNA". From Rfam's summary of the family: Transfer RNA (tRNA) molecules are approximately 80 nucleotides in length. Their secondary structure includes four short double-helical elements and three loops (D, anti-codon, and T loops). Further hydrogen bonds mediate the characteristic L-shaped molecular structure. tRNAs have two regions of fundamental functional importance: the anti-codon, which is responsible for specific mRNA codon recognition, and the 3' end, to which the tRNAs corresponding amino acid is attached (by aminoacyl-tRNA synthetases). tRNAs cope with the degeneracy of the genetic code in two manners: having more than one tRNA (with a specific anti-codon) for a particular amino acid; and 'wobble' base-pairing, i.e. permitting non-standard base-pairing at the 3rd anti-codon position. RNAcentral also lists the same sequence under 2 other names. Lineage: Eukaryota; Metazoa; Chordata; Mammalia; Artiodactyla; Camelidae. The record is from Rfam by way of RNAcentral.